Molecule: long non-coding RNA, 889 nt
Organism: Phyllopteryx taeniolatus (common seadragon)
Lineage: Eukaryota; Metazoa; Chordata; Actinopteri; Syngnathiformes; Syngnathidae
Exons: 2
Source: RefSeq, a predicted model, not a curated record
ACACACACACACACACACACACACACACACACACACAGCUGUAAAGGCAUUUUUAAGUAACAUUUAUACAUUGUCAUACUAGUGCAAAAAUAAGUGAACCACUGGGAUAUACAGUCCAUACAAUCCAGUGCCAGAUGACAGUGCAAACAAACCAUUGCAGGUGCUCUCAAUGAAUCCAAACUUACUGUUACAGUGGUAACAUAAAAUACUUUUUAAGUAGUGCUCUUCCGUAAUAUGAUGCCCAUCGUUAAUAUUGCUGCGAUGGCCUGCGAUUCUAUGGAAAUCAUGUAUAGAAAGCUAAUGAAACCUUACUAUCCAACAAACUGGGAGACGUAAAAUGUAGCUACAACAUAUUCAAAUACAAAGCACAAAACUAAUGGUUUUUACUGUCACGCAGUAACGUAUCAUUCGGUGUCAUUCAUUAGAUACUUUCUGUCAAACCAUCAGUACCAUGACACACAACGGCGAAUUCAACCUGCAUGGUCUAUCAAUCAACACCACAAUAUUCUCCUAAAAAUACAUUGUGGCGGUUAAAGCGUUACCUCCUUCUUCUUUUGUCCUCCUCCAGACGGCAGCCAUAGCACAAAGAGGAAGAAAACACACAGGAUCGGAAGGUUAGCAAAAGAUUUUACCCAAACAGACGCCAUGACGGAAGGAUGCUCUGGCUGCGAGACACGUCUCUGCCAAGCGAUUGGACGCUGCUUUGACCAAUCAGCGUAAAGCGAUUAUUCGCACACACCUCUGGGGCAUCCAUUAAUGGAUUUGCUGCGCUGCUUUCCUCAAGUAAGUUUUACCAGCUGAAAAAAAUGAAUGAAGUCAGUUUUUUGUGUUUUGGUAUGUUAAAACAAACACGUUUGUACAGCAUGGCAUGGAUAAAUAAUGCAAUACA